This is a long non-coding RNA of Salvelinus sp. IW2-2015, 642 nucleotides long. RefSeq lists it as uncharacterized. Lineage: Eukaryota; Metazoa; Chordata; Actinopteri; Salmoniformes; Salmonidae. The record is from RefSeq and is a predicted model, not a curated record.
UUGGUCCUCAGAGGGGAGAGAGCGCUUAUGAAGUCUGUGGUUACAUAGUAUUUCCUCGGGUAACUCGAUGCGCUGGAAGGGGGAAGGCAGAAGAUCCCUCCUUGCCGACAACGCAUUGAGACUUCCACAAAUCUCUCUCCUUCUGAAGACGUUUGAAAAGAGGAAAAUGGCCUCUAAAGUUACAAUCGAUGGACUGCAGAAACUGAGAAAGGAGGCAUUGGACGACUGCCAUAAUAUUUCUUAUCAUCGGGGAGUUAUUUUUUGUCACCAGAAUGGAAUGGUUUUUCUUUGACACUGCAAAAAUGAAACAGACACUGCAUCUCUGUGUGUUAUGGCUGUUGCUGGUAUGGAGCACAGGGGCCUCUGACAGGAGACCCCUCAAAAGGACAAUCUUACAACGAACAUCUCUCCAGGGAGGGAUGUUUAACAGAACACAAAACGUGUUGAACUCUGACAGUAUUGUUCCUUCCGCUGGUGGUAUAAAUGUAUCCCCUAUGAUGAGCCAUCGUGACAGAAUGCAGAGAGAUGAGAAAGCUGAGCCUCCAAGAAGAGGAAAAGGACCACCAAGCAGAAGGAUGAUGCCAAGCAGAAGAAUACCCCAACAACCAAAGAAACCCAUAAACCAGGUUGGCAGUAAACCAG